UGUUCUGGGGACCCUGACCGGG
This 22-nucleotide microRNA is filed under the name Lotus japonicus. RNAcentral describes it as "lja-miR11126-5p". Lineage: Eukaryota; Viridiplantae; Streptophyta; Magnoliopsida; Fabales; Fabaceae. The record is from miRBase by way of RNAcentral.